GGAAUAUUGGGCAAUGGGCGCAAGCCUGACCCAGCGACGCCGCGUGAGGGAUGAAGGCCUUCGGGUUGUAAACCUCUUUCAGUAGGGAAGAAGCGAAAGUGACGGUACCUAAAGAAGAAGCACCGGCUAACUAUGUGCCAGCAGCCGCGGUAAUACAUAGGGUGCAAGCGUUGUCCGGAAUUAUUGGGCGUAAAGAGCUCGUAGGUCGUUUGCCGCGUCGAUUGUGAAAAUCUGAGGCUCAACCUCAGACCUGCAGUCGAUACGGGCAAACUAGAGUGUGGUAGGGGAGACUGGAAUUCCUGGUGUAGCGGUGGAAUGCGCAGAUAUCAGGAGGAACACCAAUGGCGAAGGCAGGUCUCUGGGCCAUAACUGACACUGAGGAGCGAAAGCGCGGGGAGCGAACAGGAUUAGAUACCCUGGUAGUCCGCGCCGUAAACGAUGGGCACUAGCUGUGAGAGCCUUCCACGGUUCUCGCGACGCAGCAAACGCAUUAAGUGCCCCGCCUGGGGAGUACGAUCGCAAGAUUAAAACUCAAAGGAAUUGACG
RNAcentral lists this ribosomal RNA (546 nucleotides) under uncultured bacterium. Its description in RNAcentral is "bacterial SSU rRNA". It matches the Rfam family "Bacterial small subunit ribosomal RNA", at positions 358 to 915 of the family's 1533-position model. The record is from RNAcentral.